CCGGGCCCCUCGAGUGAAAAUACCAGCCCUCACCACUCCGCAGUCUGCCCCCCAGCCCACUGAUAGCAACCAUCAUAAUGCCCCACCCAGCUCCCGGCACCUUUCGCCACUCCGGCACAAACCAACACAGCUUUGCGAUCUCGCCAGCAUGCAGAGUCUGAUGUCUUCCCUAUAGAUGAUUCCAGAGACUCUGUGAGGCCACUAUUACAAGGCAAGUUUGAAAAUCUUGGAAUUUCACAGUUUACAUGGUAUAACAAAUAUAUGUAACAGGCAAAAACUAGUAAACACUUUUAGCAGUUACAAGAACUAACAAAUGAAUAUCCAACAAAAGGGAAUAGAAAUACAUUGUACUGCCAAUACUUUGGUUUAUUCUUUGUAUGACUUGAAAAUCAGGCUUUAGGGAAAACUAAAUGACAUGUUUCUAUCAUCAAUUACAUGAAGUAAACACACAAGCACUUGCAUACACAUUUAAGACAUGAGACACGCUAAUUCCAUCUCUUAAAAUGUGUCUAUAGGUGAGACGCUUUGCAUUGAUUGGUGCUGCUGAACCACACUGGAGGUGCGAGUCCGCCGUGUAAUGGUUUAUGCCAUUACAAAGGAGCUGGCCUCUGUACUCAACUGGGCAGGGGAAAAAAACAAAGGACCAGACAAAGCAAAAAAGGGCAUUUAAAGAGACAGCGCUGUGCAGAUGCAUAUUUGAUGGCCUGGCGCAGCAGGUAGGGGCGAACUCUAUGUCUGAGUUGGUCUUUGCUCAAGCAGUCCAGAAAUGGCUCAGAUAUGAUCCAGAUCGUACGGGUGGCACGCAGGACGCACAUCAUCCAUCCCCAUCCCGGAGUAAAUAAUAAAAAGUGACGUGAAACAUAGAAAUGUAAAUAGGAAACUUUGUCUUUUAAUAAAGUAUUUUGC
Pelmatolapia mariae (spotted tilapia) is the source of this 906-nucleotide long non-coding RNA. RefSeq lists it as uncharacterized. The transcript is spliced from 4 exons. NCBI's taxonomy places the organism in Eukaryota, Metazoa, Chordata, Actinopteri, Cichliformes, Cichlidae. The record is from RefSeq and is a predicted model, not a curated record.